Molecule: ribosomal RNA, 607 nt
Filed under: uncultured fungus
Lineage: Eukaryota; Fungi
Description: eukaryotic LSU rRNA
Rfam family: Eukaryotic large subunit ribosomal RNA
Source: RNAcentral
AUAUCAAUAAGGGGAGGAAAAGAAAAUAACCAUGAUUCCCUCAGUAACGGCGAGUGAAGCGGGAUCAGCUCAAGCUCUUAAUCGGAGGUGUCUACACUUUCGAAUUGUAGUUUUGAGAGAGGGUCUAAAGGUUGAGAAGGAGACUAAGUCUGUUGGAAAACAGUGCCAUAGAGGGUGACAGCCCCGUGAGUCUCUUUACUCUUCUGUAUAUUCCCUUUUCUUAGAGUCGGGUUGUUUGAGAGUACAGCCCAAAAUAGGUGGUAAGUUCCAUCUAAAGCUAAAUAUUGGCGGGAGACCGAUAGCAAACAAGUACCGCGAGGGAAAGAUGAAAAGAACUUUGAAAAGAGAGUCAAAAGGACUUGAAAUUGCUAAAGCGAAGCAAUUGACACUAUCUUGAGGGGGGUAGAUAUUCAGUUUCGAAGGAGUGGAAACGGGGCUGUUGAAGCAGGGAUACCUGUUCACUGUCUUGUCUAAGCUCCUUUGGGGUGCACUUAUCUAUUUUCCGAACCAUCUUGGCUCCGUCGCUGGUUAGAAUAGUGGGAGGGAGGUACUCUGGUCGCGGCUAGGGGAAUACCUUCUACAAGAUGACCAGUGAUGGAGUGAGGGG